This 232-nucleotide long non-coding RNA is filed under the name Setaria italica (foxtail millet). RNAcentral's name for it is "long non-coding RNA (SITA_LNC003894)". The record is from RNAcentral. Lineage: Eukaryota; Viridiplantae; Streptophyta; Magnoliopsida; Poales; Poaceae.
GAUGGGGAAUCUUCUUUUUGCAUAGUGUUAAAAUUAGGAUUUGAGGGUGAACGCCUAUGUUUGGCUGGAACUCAUUGGCAGGCAUUUAGUUGCAGAUAGCUCUAACAGACGUCCAGAGCUGCGAGUGAAUUCCGUAGCCAGCAUUCCUAAGGGGACCGAGAGGAAAAAAGGGGCGAAAGAGGGUCAGGAUGGCGUACGUGCAAGUUGAAAGGUGGAAGAAAAUACAGUCCCG